CAUAGACAAAGCUAUAUUAAAAUUGUCAAUCUAGAGCACCAGUGAAAGGGAUUUCGAAAUGGGAGAAGUUAGGAGCAAUUUAUAUAAGGACGGUAUUUGGUAUCAUGAUAAGUUACCAAUACUACCUAAGUCAUUGUUUAGAGAUGCGGCAAGAUUGACACAUGGGCAGAGCCAUGUGUCAACAGGGGGGAUAGUAGAGCAGGUUCGGAAACACUUUGUGGCCUAUUGGAUAACGAACUACUUAAAAAAAAACAUUUUUUAUAAUAGAUAAGUAUAUUAAAUGGGAAGAAGCGGUCCCAACUUACUGGGUGGACCCGAUUAGGGUAGUUGGUUUACUAGGAUCUAUCUCUUUAAAUAAUGGAUUACAUUUUAGCUGAUGAGGUAAACCAUAUAGAAUGCCAGAGUUAGGGAGGCCAGAACAGGUAGACAUAGAAGUUGAAGAUAUACUAACAGAACACAUGGUUAACCAAACCUGUAUGUCCGAGACUUUGUGUCCAACAGGUGAAUUACAGGAGAAGAUGAUUCACUCAAUCCAACCAGGAGACUGGGUGUGGAUCCAGUCCCUGAGGAGAAAAGAACUGGAAGCAGCCAUGGUGGGAGGGCCCAUACCAAAUGUUCCUGGUAAUAGCUUUCACGUCAAAUCCUGUCCUGCACUGGUCAAGCCUCUGAACACCUCAACUCAUGCCUCAUACCCUCAUUCAAUCACUGCUGUGAUCCCUUCCCAAAAUGGUGUUAGAAGAGAAUGACUCCUCAACCCAAGAGGCCCUGGAGCAGCUGUGAUCAGGUUAGAAGAGAAUGACUCCUCAACCCAAGAGGCCCUGGAGCAGCUGUGAUCAGGUUAGAAGAGAAUGACUCCUCAACCCAAGAG
Molecule: long non-coding RNA, 868 nt
Filed under: Salmo salar (Atlantic salmon)
Lineage: Eukaryota; Metazoa; Chordata; Actinopteri; Salmoniformes; Salmonidae
Description: lncRNA (ENSSSAG00000099147.1)
Source: RNAcentral